RNAcentral lists this ribosomal RNA (512 nucleotides) under uncultured Ideonella sp. RNAcentral describes it as "bacterial SSU rRNA". It matches the Rfam family "Bacterial small subunit ribosomal RNA", at positions 521 to 1030 of the family's 1533-position model. Lineage: Bacteria; Pseudomonadati; Pseudomonadota; Betaproteobacteria; Burkholderiales; Sphaerotilaceae. The record is from RNAcentral.
UAAUACGUAGGGUGCAAGCGUUAAUCGGAAUUACUGGGCGUAAAGCGUGCGCAGGCGGUUUCGUAAGCUUGAUGUGAAAUCCCCGGGCUCAACCUGGGAACUGCAUUGAGCACUGCGAGACUAGAAUACGGCAGAGGGGGGUGGAAUUCCACGUGUAGCAGUGAAAUGCGUAGAGAUGUGGAGGAACACCGAUGGCGAAGGCAGCCCCCUGGGCCUGUAUUGACGCUCAUGCACGAAAGCGUGGGGAGCAAACAGGAUUAGAUACCCUGGUAGUCCACGCCCUAAACGAUGUCAACUGGUUGUUGGAAGAGUGAUCUUUCAGUAACGAAGCUAACGCGAGAAGUUGACCGCCUGGGGAGUACGGCCGCAAGGUUAAAACUCAAAGAAAUUGACGGGGACCCGCACAAGCGGUGGAUGAUGUGGAUUAAUUCGAUGCAACGCGAAAAAACCUUACCUACCCUUGACAUGGUCGGAAUCCUGAAGAGAUUUGGGAGUGCUCGAAAGAGAGCCGA